Molecule: ribosomal RNA, 454 nt
Filed under: uncultured bacterium
Lineage: Bacteria
Description: bacterial SSU rRNA
Rfam family: Bacterial small subunit ribosomal RNA
Source: RNAcentral
UACGGAAGGCAGCAGUGGGGAAUAUUGCACAAUGGGCGCAAGCCUGAUGCAGCCAUGCCGCGUGUAUGAAGAAGGCCUUCGGGUUGUAAAGUACUUUCAGUCGUGAGGAAGGUGUUAAGGUUAAUAACCUUAGCAAUUGACGUUAGCGACAGAAGAAGCACCGGCUAACUCCGUGCCAGCAGCCGCGGUAAUACGGAGGGUGCGAGCGUUAAUCGGAAUUACUGGGCGUAAAGGGCACGCAGGCGGUUAAUUAAGUUGGAUGUGAAAUCCCCGGGCUUAACCUGGGAAUGGCAUUCAAGACUGGUUAGCUAGAGUCUUGUAGAGGGGGUAGAAUUCCAUGUGUAGCGGUGAAAUGCGUAGAGAUGUGGAGGAAUACCGGGUGGCGAAGGCGGCCCCUGGGACAAAGACUGACGCUCAUGUGCGAAAGCUGGGGAGCAAACGAGGAUUAGAUACC